AUGAAGUCAUCUUCCAGCAGAAACAUGCUACCAAAGACAGAGAGUCCUUUCGGAUUAUUAGUCCCCUUCACCUGUGAAAAGACGGACGUCGCUGAUAUUCUUCUAGGACAUUUUGAACACCUGGAGCACAUCCAGCUAGCCUGCGCCCGGGACACCACCGGGGCUGUUCUUCUGGAAAGAAACAGAGCUGUUCCAGGCUCCUGCCGCCUCCGAGCCUUCGGGGACGGGGCUCUGCCGGGCCCAUCAGCCAGGCAGUAAGCGUGUUUCCACACAAUUUGGAAAACAGAGAUUUUUCCUCAGAGGCAUCGUAGCCAGCCUUGGCUGCGAGCGGGCUAGUUUACGCUUUCCAAGGCCUCCUGGUUCUACGUUUGUCUUGCACCAGAGCCAAGAGCAGUGUUAUAAAAAUGUCUACAGACAGCAAUCCUGUGCGUGUGCGUGUGCGUGUGCCUGAGCACACCUGUAAUUCUUGACUACGUGCCAAAGAAGUCAGGAGGCUUUCUUGCGGUGUGUGUGAGAUGGUGAGAAGUGUGACUUCUAUCCAGCAAGGGUCCAGAUCUACCACCGCCUGAUGAAGAAGAGAUGCUUGGCUUGUUGGUUACAGCUUCUUCGGUUAUGAGAACAUCUAGUAAGCUUUUUGGCCAGAAGCUUCUCUGAGGUCAUAUUUUCUGAAAAUAGUGACUCCGGGUUCUUGCUCUGAGGAGCAUUUGGCAGCCAAGGUGCUGCACAGAGGCGGGUCUCCUAUUGAAUGGAGAGGGAAGCCCGGGCUUGGCGACUCACUCCAGGUGGUAUUUGAAGCCAGUGGCAGAGCUAGGCUCAUUAUUAAGACCACUGCUGAUUUCUUGCACUAUCGUAGGACUCACACAUGGACCAGGAGUCUGAUGACCAAGUUUUUCACAGUACAAACUUCACCUCCACCUAAGCAUUCCCCUGGAGGGCUGAAAGAAAGAAGCAAUCCCCUGCUGCAUUGUUGCAUUGCCCAGAAAAGCGGCACCCAACCUAUUUUAACAACACUAUUUAGAAAGUCUUUGCUUCAUGUUGUUGGCACUGAACAGCCUCGAUAGCAAGGGGGCAGGGGGCUGUGCAAGCAGGGGCAUGGCCCAGGAGGGCAGGAUCUGUCUCGCAGAAUCCCUCACAGCAAACCAGAACAAUAAGGACAGGAAAAUAAGAAGUGUGCAUGCUUUUAAUGCCGCAAACCAAGCACAAAGGUAAGCCCUGCUCUAUCUUUGGACGUUUCCAGGGUGAGGGAGCAAGCAGCUUGCAGCCAGAGCCCGCUGUUGAAGCAGGAGAAUUUAAUGCUGCCUGACAGUGCUUCCCCUGGUGGGCUCGCGCUCUGCACCAGCGCUCUGCUUCGCUCCCGCAUGGAGCAGAUGCCGCUGUUAUUGCUGCUCAGAGGCAGCACCGAGACGUACAAUUUCCAUGUGCAGAUAUUUCUCUGGCGUUACAUAACCCGUGUAUUUAACACGCACUAAAUUUUCACCGCAAAUUGGCUGCCGUGGGGGCACUCAGGUUUUAAAAAAGCUGCUUCCUUCCCAAGACGUGUAGUUACACUACGGCCUUGGUUUGAUCCGAUUAUGAAAGCCACACUCACGAAUGAAGUGCGCAUGGGGCUGUGGGAUCUCAUCAUUAAAAAAUAAAAAGAAGUGAAUUCCCA
This 1651-nucleotide long non-coding RNA is filed under the name Anser brachyrhynchus (Pink-footed goose). RNAcentral describes it as "lncRNA (ENSABRG00000015053.1)". Lineage: Eukaryota; Metazoa; Chordata; Aves; Anseriformes; Anatidae. The record is from RNAcentral.